RNAcentral lists this ribosomal RNA (450 nucleotides) under uncultured bacterium. RNAcentral's name for it is "SSU rRNA". It matches the Rfam family "Bacterial small subunit ribosomal RNA", at positions 26 to 518 of the family's 1533-position model. The record is from RNAcentral.
AGAGCGAACGCUGGCGGCAGGCUUAACACAUGCAAGUCGAGCGCCCCGCAAGGGGAGCGGCAGACGGGAGAGUAACACGUGGGAACGUACCUUUCGGUUCGGAACAACCCAGGGAAACUUGGGCUAAUACCGGAUACGUCCGUAAGGAGAAAGAUUUAUCGCCGAAAGAUCGGCCCGCGUCUGAUUAGCUAGUUGGUGAGGUAACGGCUCACCAAGGCGACGAUCAGUAGCUGGUCUGAGAGGAUGAUCAGCCUCACUGGGACUGAGACACGGCCCAGACUCCUACGGGAGGCAGCAGUGGGGAAUAUUGGACAAUGGGCGCAAGCCUGAUCCAGCCAUGCCGCGUGGGUGAUGAAGGCCCGUAGGGUUGUAAACCGCUUUCACCAGGGACGAAGCGAGAGUGACGGUACCUGGGGAAGAAGCGCCGGCUAACUACGCGCCAGCAGCCGC